RNAcentral lists this ribosomal RNA (253 nucleotides) under uncultured bacterium. RNAcentral describes it as "partial 16S ribosomal RNA". It matches the Rfam family "Bacterial small subunit ribosomal RNA", at positions 524 to 776 of the family's 1533-position model. The record is from RNAcentral.
UACGUAGGCAGCGAGCGUUGUUCGGAGUUACUGGGCGUAAAGGGUGUGUAGGCGGUUCUUUAAGUUUGGUGUGAAAUCUCCCGGCUCAACCGGGAGGGUGCGCCGAAUACUGAGGGACUAGAGUGCGGGAGAGGAAAGUGGAAUUCCUGGUGUAGCGGUGAAAUGCGUAGAUAUCAGGAGGAACACCGGCGGUGUAGACGGCUUUCUGGACCGUAACUGACGCUGAGACACGAAAGCGUGGGUAGCAAACAGG